RNAcentral lists this ribosomal RNA (460 nucleotides) under uncultured bacterium. Its description in RNAcentral is "partial 16S ribosomal RNA". It matches the Rfam family "Bacterial small subunit ribosomal RNA", at positions 338 to 795 of the family's 1533-position model. The record is from RNAcentral.
CCUACGGGGGGCUGCAGUGAGGAAUAUUGGUCAAUGGACGAGAGUCUGAACCAGCCAAGUAGCGUGAAGGAUGACUGCCAUAUGGGUUGUAAACUUCUUUUAUAUGGGAAUAAAACAGGGUAUGCAUACCCUCUUGUAUGUACCAUAUGAAUAAGGAUCGGCUAACUCCGUGCCAGCAGCCGCGGUAAUACGGAGGAUCCGAGCGUUAUCCGGAUUUAUUGGGUUUAAAGGGAGCGUAGGUGGAUUGUUAAGUCAGUUGUGAAAGUUUGCGGCUCAACCGUAAAAUUGCAGUUGAAACUGGCAGUCUUGAGUACAGUAGAGGUGGGCGGAAUUCGUGGUGUAGCGGUGACAUGCUUAGAUAUCACGAAGAACUCCGAUUGCGAAGGCAGCUUACUAAACUGCCACUGACAUUGAUGCUCGACAGUGUGGGUAUCAAACCGGAUUAGAUACCCCAGUAGUC